AAACUUACCAGGUCAAGACAUGGGCGUGAUUGACAGGCUAAUGACUUUUCUCGAUUCCAUGGAUGGUGGUGCAUGGUCGCACUUAGUUGGUGCAGUGAUUUGUCAGGUUUAUUCCGGUAACGAACGAGACCUCGGCCUUGUAAAUAGCUAUGCUGCUUACAGGGACAUUGGCGGCUACGCCAAGGAAGCUCGAGGCAAUUGCAGAUCUGGAAUGCCCUUAGAUGUCCUGGGUCGCACGCGUGCUACAAUGACGCCACGAACGAGCUUGCGUGAUGAAAGUUACGCAUAAUCAGCAGUCGGCGUCUUAAGGGAUAGUCUCUUGUAACUGUGGGACUCCAACUAGGAAUGUCUCGUAAGCACAAGUCAACAUCUUGUGUUGAUUACGUCCCUGCUCUUUGUACACACCGCCCGUCGCUCCUACCGAUCGAGUGUUUAGGUGAAUUUGAUGGACGUAAGGAAGUCAAAUAAACCUGAGCACUAGAGGAUGAGAAGUCGACAUC
RNAcentral lists this ribosomal RNA (500 nucleotides) under uncultured Myrionecta. RNAcentral's name for it is "bacterial SSU rRNA". It matches the Rfam family "Eukaryotic small subunit ribosomal RNA", at positions 1211 to 1796 of the family's 1831-position model. The record is from RNAcentral. Lineage: Eukaryota; Ciliophora; Litostomatea; Cyclotrichida; Mesodiniidae.